Molecule: ribosomal RNA, 444 nt
Filed under: uncultured bacterium
Lineage: Bacteria
Description: partial 16S ribosomal RNA
Rfam family: Bacterial small subunit ribosomal RNA
Source: RNAcentral
GUGAGGAAUAUUGGACAAUGGGCGCAAGCCUGAUCCAGCCAUGCCGCGUGCAGGAAGACGCAUCUAUGGUGUGUAAACUGCUUUUGUACGGGAAGAAACACUCCCUCGUGAGGGAGCUUGACGGUACCGUAAGAAUAAGGAUCGGCUAACUCCGUGCCAGCAGCCGCGGUAAUACGGAGGAUCCAAGCGUUAUCCGGAAUCAUUGGGUUUAAAGGGUCCGUAGGCGGUUUAAUAAGUCAGUGGUGAAAGCCCAUCGCUCAACGAUGGAACGGCCAUUGAUACUGUUAGACUUGAAUUACAAGGAAGUAACUAGAAUAUGUAGUGUAGCGGUGAAAUGCUUAGAUAUUACAUGGAAUACCAAUUGCGAAGGCAGGUUACUACUUGUGGAUUGACGCUGAUGGACGAAAGCGUGGGGAGCGAACAGGAUUAGAUACCCCGGUAUCC